ACCAGCAGCAGCGGCAAUUUUAGCAUCUUCGAUCGAUGAAAGCAGCACUCUGUCAGAUUCCAAAACCCAGAAGCAGAGGCAGAACAGCAUCUUCUUCCCUUGAUUCUCACGGCUCUUCUCUUCUCUGUACACAUGGUAGCAGUGGCUCUCUCUAGUGGCUGCUCGGACGGUGGACUCCACCCACGGCGACGACGACACUCUCUUCCACAAACCUUGGCAGCAGCGGUGAUGGAAGGGCAGCGUUGCUUCCUCUUCUCCCUCGCAAACUCCUCUCUCUCCCUCUCCUC
Molecule: non-coding RNA, 287 nt
Organism: Arachis ipaensis
Lineage: Eukaryota; Viridiplantae; Streptophyta; Magnoliopsida; Fabales; Fabaceae
Source: RefSeq, a predicted model, not a curated record